This 1471-nucleotide ribosomal RNA is filed under the name uncultured organism. RNAcentral's name for it is "SSU rRNA". It matches the Rfam family "Bacterial small subunit ribosomal RNA". The record is from RNAcentral.
UGAACGCUGGCGGCAGGCCUAACACAUGCAAGUCGAACGGUAACAGGAAGAAGCUUGCUUCUUUGCUGACGAGUGGCGGACGGGUGAGUAAUGUCUGGGAAACUGCCUGAUGGAGGGGGAUAACUACUGGAAACGGUAGCUAAUACCGCAUAACGUCGCAAGACCAAAGAGGGGGACCUUCGGGCCUCUUGCCAUCGGAUGUGCCCAGAUGGGAUUAGCUUGUUGGUGGGGUAACGGCUCACCAAGGCGACGAUCCCUAGCUGGUCUGAGAGGAUGACCAGCCACACUGGAACUGAGACACGGUCCAGACUCCUACGGGAGGCAGCAGUGGGGAAUAUUGCACAAUGGGCGCAAGCCUGAUGCAGCCAUGCCGCGUGUAUGAAGAAGGCCUUCGGGUUGUAAAGUACUUUCAGCGGGGAGGAAGGGAGUAAAGUUAAUACCUUUGCUCAUUGACGUUACCCGCAGAAGAAGCACCGGCUAACUCCGUGCCAGCAGCCGCGGUAAUACGGAGGGUGCAAGCGUUAAUCGGAAUUACUGGGCGUAAAGCGCACGCAGGCGGUUUGUUAAGUCAGAUGUGAAAUCCCCGGGCUCAACCUGGGAACUGCAUCUGAUACUGGCAAGCUUGAGUCUCGUAGAGGGGGGUAGAAUUCCAGGUGUAGCGGUGAAAUGCGUAGAGAUCUGGAGGAAUACCGGUGGCGAAGGCGGCCCCCCUGGACGAAGACUGACGCUCAGGUGCGAAAGCGUGGGGGAGCAAAACAGGAUUAGAUACCCUGGUAGUCCACGCCGUAAACGAUGUCGACUUGGAGGUUGUGCCCUUGAGGCGUGGCUUCCGGAGCUAACGCGUUAAGUCGACCGCCUGGGGAGUACGGCCGCAAGGUUAAAACUCAAAUGAAUUGACGGGGGCCCGCACAAGCGGUGGAGCAUGUGGUUUAAUUCGAUGCAACGCGAAGAACCUUACCUGGUCUUGACAUCCACAGAACUUUCCAGAGAUGGAUUGGUGCCUUCGGGAACUGUGAGACAGGUGCUGCAUGGCUGUCGUCAGCUCGUGUUGUGAAAUGUUGGGUUAAGUCCCGCAACGAGCGCAACCCUUAUCCUUUGUUGCCAGCGGUCCGGCCGGGAACUCAAAGGAGACUGCCAGUGAUAAACUGGAGGAAGGUGGGGAUGACGUCAAGUCAUCAUGGCCCUUACGACCAGGGCUACACACGUGCUACAAUGGCGCAUACAAAGAGAAGCGACCUCGCGAGAGCAAGCGGACCUCAUAAAGUGCGUCGUAGUCCGGAUUGGAGUCUGCAACUCGACUCCAUGAAGUCGGAAUCGCUAGUAAUCGUGGAUCAGAAUGCCACGGUGAAUACGUUCCCGGGCCUUGUACACACCGCCCGUCACACCAUGGGAGUGGGUUGCAAAAGAAGUAGGUAGCUUAACCUUCGGGAGGGCGCUUACCACUUUGUGAUUCAUGACUGGGGUGAAGUCA